This 554-nucleotide ribosomal RNA is filed under the name Fusarium culmorum. Its description in RNAcentral is "eukaryotic LSU rRNA". The stretch from base 196 to 349 matches the Rfam family "5.8S ribosomal RNA". Lineage: Eukaryota; Fungi; Ascomycota; Sordariomycetes; Hypocreales; Nectriaceae. The record is from RNAcentral.
AAAGUCGUAACAAGGUCUCCGUUGGUGAACCAGCGGAGGGAUCAUUACCGAGUUUACAACUCCCAAACCCCUGUGAACAUACCUUAUGUUGCCUCGGCGGAUCAGCCCGCGCCCCGUAAAAAGGGACGGCCCGCCGCAGGAACCCUAAACUCUGUUUUUAGUGGAACUUCUGAGUAUAAAAAACAAAUAAAUCAAAACUUUCAACAACGGAUCUCUUGGUUCUGGCAUCGAUGAAGAACGCAGCAAAAUGCGAUAAGUAAUGUGAAUUGCAGAAUUCAGUGAAUCAUCGAAUCUUUGAACGCACAUUGCGCCCGCCAGUAUUCUGGCGGGCAUGCCUGUUCGAGCGUCAUUUCAACCCUCAAGCCCAGCUUGGUGUUGGGAGCUGCAGUCCUGCUGCACUCCCCAAAUACAUUGGCGGUCACGUCGAGCUUCCAUAGCGUAGUAAUUUACAUAUCGUUACUGGUAAUCGUCGCGGCCACGCCGUUAAACCCCAACUUCUGAAUGUUGACCUCGGAUCAGGUAGGAAUACCCGCUGAACUUAAGCAUAUCAAUAA